AAUACUAAGGUUUUUAAACUAUGUAUCAGUAUCCUUGAAAGUGCCACAGUGACGAAGCAUUUAAAGAAAUUUAAAUGGUGGAACGCGGUAAACCCCUCGAGCGAGCAACCCAAACUUAUGGUAGGGGCAUCUUUUAAAGCGGAAAUGAACGCAAAAAAGAGUAGUUUUUUGCGGUAUAAAACAAAAAACUACAGAUAGAUGAUUAUCGCUUAUCUUUUGCUCUUGAAAUUAGAUAAGUACAAAACAUGGCUUAUAGAA
This 258-nucleotide RNase P RNA is filed under the name Lactobacillales bacterium. RNAcentral's name for it is "partial RNase P RNA component class B". It matches the Rfam family "Bacterial RNase P class B", at positions 133 to 365 of the family's 365-position model. From Rfam's summary of the family: Ribonuclease P (RNase P) is a ubiquitous endoribonuclease, found in archaea, bacteria and eukarya as well as chloroplasts and mitochondria. Its best characterised activity is the generation of mature 5'-ends of tRNAs by cleaving the 5'-leader elements of precursor-tRNAs. Lineage: Bacteria; Bacillati; Bacillota; Bacilli; Lactobacillales. The record is from RNAcentral.